Molecule: ribosomal RNA, 450 nt
Filed under: uncultured bacterium
Lineage: Bacteria
Description: partial 16S ribosomal RNA
Rfam family: Bacterial small subunit ribosomal RNA
Source: RNAcentral
GUGGGGAAUAUUGGACAAUGGGCGAAAGCCUGAUCCAGCCAUGCCGCGUGUGUGAAGAAGGUCUUCGGAUUGUAAAGCACUUUAAGUUGGGAGGAAGGGCAGUAAGUUAAUACCUUGCUGUUUUGACGUUACCGACAGAAUAAGCACCGGCUAACUUCGUGCCAGCAGCCGCGGUAAUACGAAGGGUGCAAGCGUUAAUCGGACUUACUGGGCGUAAAGCGCGCGUCGGUGGUUUUGUAAGUUGGCGGUGAAAUCCCCGGGCGCAACCUGGGAACUGCCUACAAAACUGCAUGACUAGAGUACGGCAGAUGGUAGUGGAAUUGCCUGUGUAGCGGUGAAAUGCGUAGAUAUAGGAAGGAACACCAGUGGCGAAGGCGACUACCUGGACUGAUACUGACACUGAGGUGCGAAAGCGUGGGGAGCAAACAGGAUUAGAAACCCUUGUAGUCC